This 888-nucleotide long non-coding RNA is filed under the name Homo sapiens (human). RNAcentral describes it as "non-protein coding lnc-ANKRD36B-3:1". Lineage: Eukaryota; Metazoa; Chordata; Mammalia; Primates; Hominidae. The record is from RNAcentral.
GGAAAAUAUGUUAAAGGCAGCCAGAGAGAAAGGGCAGGCCAUCUACAAAGGGAACCCCAUUAGGCUAACAGCAGAUCUCUCAGCUGAAAUCCUACAAGCCAGAAGGGAUUGGGGGACUAUAUUUAACAUUAUUAAAGAAAAUCUUCAACCAAGAAUUUCAUAUACAGCUAAACUAAGCUUUCUAAAUGAAGGAGAAAUGAGAUCAUUUACAGACAAGCAAAUUCUGAGUUUUGCACAUUCAGUGUAAUGUUGGCUGUGGGUUUGUCAUGGCUAGCUCUCAUCAUUUUGGCACUUCUGACUAGAAGGGCAAGAGGGGCCAGUGUUGUUGUUACCUGAAAGGUGAUGGCAUCAGCUGAGAAGGGAAGGAAGCCCAUGAGAGGACACUGAAGAAGGAGUGAGCAGACAAUAAGAAGCCCACAGAAGACAGAGAAGGAACAACUAGAGGGAGAAGCCAAGACACUACCCAAAGCAGUGCUUCACUACAGUGGCAGACAGACCUGAAAAUUUUCAUCUGAAGCAGCAGAGUGAACUGCAGAGGCAGGUCACCAACCAGUGUGGAGGCUAAAAGCGGGCCUCUUUGGGGAUUCCAGGUGGAAGUGUUGGACAUCUGUAGUAUUCCUGGUCUCGAAUCAUCCUGAUAUUCUUCAUUUUGUUAUUCACAUUGGACUAGGAGAUAGAAUCUCACUAUGUUGACCAGGCUGGUCUUGAACUCUUGGCACCCAAGCGAUCCUUUUGCCUGGAAUCCCAAAGUGUCAGAUUUACUGAAGAAUAUUUCAUUGUAAUUACUUUUUAUACUUUAUAGGUCAAGAGCUCUGUUUUAAAUACAAAAUUUAUUGAAUAUACUUUUUCAAACAAAGUUUCAUGUUCUAAUCAUUGUCUGAUUUCAGC